AACGAACGCUGGCGGCAGGCCUCAAACAUGCAAGUCUAGGGGGUGUAGCAAUACAUCACCGGCGGACGGGUGCGUAACGCGUGGGAAUAUACCUAUCGAUUCGGAACAACUGAGGGAAACUUCAGCUAAUACCGAAUACGUCCUAACGGAGAAAGAUUUAUCGUCGAUAGAUUAGCCCGCGUUCGAUUAGCUAGUUGGUGGGGUAACGGCCCACCAAGGCGACGAUCGAUAGCUGUUCUGAGAGGAAGAUCAGCCACACUGGGACUGAGACACGGCCCAGACUCCUACGGGAGGCAGCAGUUGGGAAUCUUGGACAAUGGGGGGAAACCCUGAUCCAGCCAUGCCGCGUGAGUGAUGAAGGCCUUCGGGUUGUAAAACUCUUUCGUCGCACGACGAUAAUGACGGUAGUGCGAGAAGAAGACUCCGGCUAACUUCGUGCCAGCAGCCGCGGUAAU
This 455-nucleotide ribosomal RNA is filed under the name uncultured bacterium. RNAcentral's name for it is "bacterial SSU rRNA". It matches the Rfam family "Bacterial small subunit ribosomal RNA", at positions 29 to 524 of the family's 1533-position model. The record is from RNAcentral.